UUGGACCUGUAUACCACCCUGAACACGCCCGAUCUCAUCUGAUCUCGGAAGCUAAGCAAGGUUUCCUACUUAGAACAAAAUGGCCCAGC
RNAcentral lists this ribosomal RNA (89 nucleotides) under Erinaceus europaeus (western European hedgehog). The record is from RNAcentral. Lineage: Eukaryota; Metazoa; Chordata; Mammalia; Eulipotyphla; Erinaceidae.